GACGAACGCUGGCGGCGUGCCUAAUACAUGCAAGUAGAGCGCACAAGGUUGGUCCUUGUACCAACCGGAAGAGCAGCGAACGGGUGAGUAACGCGUGGGGAAUCUGCCUUUGAGCGGGGGACAACAUCAGGAAACGAAUGCUCAUACAGCAUAAAAACUUCAAACACAAGUUUUAAGUUUGAAAGAUGCAAUUGCAUCACUUAAAGAUGACCCCGCGUUGUAUUAGUUAGUUGGUUAGUUAAAGGCUCACCAAGGCGAUGAUACAUAGCCAGCCGGAGAGGGUGAUCGGCCACAUUGAGACUGAUACACGACCCACACUCCUAGGGGAGGCAGCAGUAGGGAAUCUUCGGCAAUGGACGAAAGUCUGAGCGAGCAACGCAGCGUGAGUGAAGAAGGUUUUCGGCUCGUAAAGCUCUGUUGUUAGAGAAGAACGUUGGUGAGAGUGAAAAGCUCAUCAAGUGACGGUACCUGGCCAGAAAGGGACGGCUAACUACGUG
This 497-nucleotide ribosomal RNA is filed under the name uncultured bacterium. RNAcentral describes it as "partial 16S ribosomal RNA". It matches the Rfam family "Bacterial small subunit ribosomal RNA", at positions 28 to 507 of the family's 1533-position model. The record is from RNAcentral.